RNA transcript from Zalophus californianus (California sea lion), 623 nucleotides. RefSeq lists it as uncharacterized. The transcript has 4 exons. NCBI's taxonomy places the organism in Eukaryota, Metazoa, Chordata, Mammalia, Carnivora, Otariidae. The record is from RefSeq and is a predicted model, not a curated record.
CAGAGGAGAAGGCAGAAGAGCGGAGCCGGCCGCGGAGCACCCACACUGGCGGCUGCAGGAGCGCGGGGCCUGUCUGGAAUCUUAUGAUUGGACUGAAGUCCUGCAUCCCCACCAAGAACACCACAGAAAUGGUUCCUCAUCCUUCUCAGUACAGCAGAUCACAGCAUGCAUGAUAUCAAUACUUAACACUUGGUUCAUUGUAUUUCUUCAUUCAUUAUGAAACCCGUUGGUACCAUAAUGGGCUUCUACAACAUGGCAGUUCAUGGAGGUUUUAAAGAAAAAUCGCGUGCAGGACCCCACCCUGGAAUUCAAUCUGGUUCAGUGCUAUUUAGCUCUCAGAGUAUUUGGAAGUUGUGAAAAAAUAUGAGUGUGACUACCUAUCUCACAGAGUGCCCGGUCCUCCUCAGAUCACACAGCUGGUAUGUGUGUGCCCAGGUUCCAGGUCUUCGGCCUCAGAGUCAGAUGUGCUGUCAACUCCUCUCUGGCAACCUGACUGACAUGUUGUAGAUCUGCAGUGAAUAUUUUUUCUACUGAUGAACAUACAGAUAGAUACCUUUUACUCUGAAGAUGGAUGAACAACGGUAAAUAAAACUGCCAUAGUCAUCUGCAUUGUAAGUUUUGUA